Molecule: ribosomal RNA, 496 nt
Filed under: uncultured bacterium
Lineage: Bacteria
Description: bacterial SSU rRNA
Rfam family: Bacterial small subunit ribosomal RNA
Source: RNAcentral
ACGAACGCUGGCGGCGUGCCUAAUACAUGCAAGUAGAACGCUGAAGGAAGGAGCUUGCCCUUUCCGGAUGAGUUGCGAACGGGUGAGUAACGCGUAGGUAACCUGCCUGGUAGCGGGGGAUAACUAUUGGAAACGAUAGCUAAUACCGCAUAAGAGUAGAUAUCGCAUGAUAGCUGCUUAAAAGGUGCAAUUGCAUCACUACCAGAUGGACCUGCGUUGUAUUAGCUAGUUGGUGGGGUAACGGCUCACCAAGGCGACGAUACAUAGCCGACCUGAGAGGGUGAUCGGCCACACUGGGACUGAGACACGGCCCAGACUCCUACGGGAGGCAGCAGUAGGGGAUCUUCGGCAAUGGACGGAAGUCUGACCGAGCAACGCCGCGUGAGUGAAGAAGGUUUUCGGAUCGUAAAGCUCUGUUGUAAGAGAAGAACGAGUGUGAGAGUGGAAAGUUCACACUGUGACGGUAUCUUACCAGAAAGGGACGGCUAACUACGUG